CCGAGUUACCAAACUCCAAACCUUUGUGAAUCUACCUAUUGUUGCUUCGGCGGACGGCUCCGGGGGAGCCUUAAGCCAUUAUGGUGUCCGCCGAAAGCCCCAGACUCUACAUUUUUAGGUGUUUUGCCUGAGUAAAAAACAAACAAGUAA
This 150-nucleotide unclassified non-coding RNA is filed under the name uncultured Hypocreales. RNAcentral's name for it is "sequence contains ITS1". Lineage: Eukaryota; Fungi; Ascomycota; Sordariomycetes; Hypocreales. The record is from RNAcentral.